RNAcentral lists this long non-coding RNA (253 nucleotides) under Nicotiana benthamiana. RNAcentral describes it as "long non-coding RNA (NBEN_LNC011516)". The record is from RNAcentral. Lineage: Eukaryota; Viridiplantae; Streptophyta; Magnoliopsida; Solanales; Solanaceae.
AUGGGUCUAACUUUUACAUUUGUAAAGCCGCAAAUUGGGGGUUCCUCAAUUUAGGGAGACUAAGAAUUCUCGCAAAAGUGAUCAUAUGCAAGAAGUCAGGGAUAAUAUGGUAAUCCAUAUAAUCCGCCGGUUAACCCGUUUUUUAUCCGUAUUAAAUAUGGGUCGGGUCGGGGCAAUUGAUCCGUUGUUUGAUUACCCAUUUUCGACCCGAACCAUAUCCGACCUGAUCUGCUAGUUUGCCACUCCUAUCAGG